RNAcentral lists this microRNA precursor (112 nucleotides) under Xyrichtys novacula (pearly razorfish). The record is from RNAcentral. Lineage: Eukaryota; Metazoa; Chordata; Actinopteri; Labriformes; Labridae.
CUCCCUCCUUCCCUCCCUCCCUUGCUUCCUCCCUCCUCCUCGGCUUCCUUGCUCUGUGCCUGAGGGGAGGAAGAGAAGGAGGGAGGAAGGGAGGGAGGGAGGGAGGAGGGGG